GGGGGCUGAGCGAGUGAGCUGCUCUGCCACGGGAAUGCUGUGCGAAGCUGCGUUUCAGCGUUUCCAAGAUUAUUCGACUUUGCGAGCCUAAAAAUGGGUGACCAAGGAAGAUGUGGCAGCCAGCAGUGGCCAUCACCUGGAGGGAGCUGUGGCAGAGGUUAGCAGAGGAAAAUGGACCAUGUUAUACAGGUGGCUUAACUUACUGUUGUUAUGCAUACAGUUGUGGAGGAAUGUUACCUUCAUUCCACAAGAAUCCUGGUCAAGGAGAAGAGCUGAGAAUUGUUAAAUAUGCAAAACUUAAUUAGUCCUCAGUGUGUAGACAAACCACCCUAAGCCCAGUCACAGGAAUUUGAUGGUCUACAGACUGUACUAUCCACUUUGUACAAGCUGAGAUGUUUCUUGGUCAUGACUUCUGAGGACUCACAGCCUUCCCGGGCUCCCAAGAUCCAAGGAUGCCCUCUUACCUUGUCUUGAAGCAUCUAAAGGAAACUGGAAAGUACAGUGAUACAUGAACAAU
Long non-coding RNA from Melospiza melodia melodia, 517 nucleotides. RefSeq lists it as uncharacterized. The transcript is spliced from 5 exons. NCBI's taxonomy places the organism in Eukaryota, Metazoa, Chordata, Aves, Passeriformes, Passerellidae. The record is from RefSeq and is a predicted model, not a curated record.